This 294-nucleotide unclassified non-coding RNA is filed under the name rhizosphere metagenome. Its description in RNAcentral is "partial ribosomal RNA internal transcribed spacer region". The record is from RNAcentral.
GUAGGUGAACCUGCGGAAGGAUCAUUAUUGAAAUAAACCUGAUGGGUUGUUGCUGGUUCUCUAGGGAGCAUGUGCACACUUGUCAUCUUUAUAUCUCCACCUGUGCACCUUUUGUAGAUCUGGAUAGCUUUCUAAAUGCCUAGCAUUUGGGUUUGAAGAUUGACUUUUCUGUCUUUCUUUACAUUUUCAGGUCUAUGUUUCUCCAUAUACCCCAAUGUAUGUUAUAGAAUGUAAUGAAUGGGUCUUUGUGCCUAUAAAUUUAUACAACUUUCAGCAACGGAUCUCUUGGUUCUC